UACGAGCGCCGCCGCGUGAGCGAAGAAGGCCUUCGGGUCGUAAAGCUCUGUCGUAUGGGACGAAUUGACGGUACCGGAAGAAGAAGCCCCCGAUAGUUCCCUACCAGAAACCGACGGCUUAAUACGUGCCAGCAGCCGCGGUAAUAAAUU
This 150-nucleotide ribosomal RNA is filed under the name uncultured Clostridium sp. Its description in RNAcentral is "partial 16S ribosomal RNA". It matches the Rfam family "Bacterial small subunit ribosomal RNA", at positions 386 to 529 of the family's 1533-position model. The record is from RNAcentral. Lineage: Bacteria; Bacillati; Bacillota; Clostridia; Eubacteriales; Clostridiaceae.